This 119-nucleotide ribosomal RNA is filed under the name Saimiri boliviensis boliviensis (Bolivian squirrel monkey). Lineage: Eukaryota; Metazoa; Chordata; Mammalia; Primates; Cebidae. The record is from RNAcentral.
GUCUAUGGCCACACCACCCUGAACAUGCCCGAUCUCGUCUGAUCUUGGGAGCUAAGCAGGGUCGGGCCUGGUUAGUACUUGGAUGGGAGACCACCUGGGAAUACCGGGUGCUGUAGGCG